Molecule: non-coding RNA, 238 nt
Filed under: Phaeobacter sp. CECT 5382
Lineage: Bacteria; Pseudomonadati; Pseudomonadota; Alphaproteobacteria; Rhodobacterales; Roseobacteraceae
Also listed under: 1 other name
Source: RNAcentral
CGCAAGGGGGUUUUCGUUGGUUCCUGCAAAUUGCAGGCGAAGAGGGAAUGUGACAGGCUCGAAAGCGCAUAAGCGAUCGGGUUUCAAGCACAGCCGCCCCCGCGACCGUGACCGGAGAGGUCUCUGAUGCCACUGGGCCCGUGAGUUUCACGUCCCGGGAAGGCAAGAGUACCGCAAGCAGGCUUCAGGCCUGUUGAGAUCCGCAAGCCGGGAGACCUGCCAACGAAUGAGACAACGG